This 521-nucleotide ribosomal RNA is filed under the name uncultured bacterium. Its description in RNAcentral is "bacterial SSU rRNA". It matches the Rfam family "Bacterial small subunit ribosomal RNA", at positions 8 to 526 of the family's 1533-position model. The record is from RNAcentral.
AGAGUUUGAUCAUGGCUCAGGACGAACGCUGGCGGCGUGCCUAACACAUGCAAGUCGAGCGGUAAGGCCCUUCGGGGUACACGAGCGGCGAACGGGUGAGUAACACGUGGGCAACCUGCCCUGCACACUGGGAUAAGCCUGGGAAACUAGGUCUAAUACCGGAUACGACCUCGCGAGGCAUCUCGCGUGGUGGAAAGUUCCGGCGGUGCAGGAUGGGCCCGCGGCCUAUCAGCUAGUUGGUGGGGUAACGGCCUACCAAGGCGACGACGGGUAGCCGGCCUGAGAGGGCGACCGGCCACACUGGGACUGAGACACGGCCCAGACUCCUACGGGAGGCAGCAGUGGGGAAUUUUUCACAAUGGGGGCAACCCUGAUGGAGCGACGCCGCGUGGAGGAUGAAGGUCUUCGGAUUGUAAACUCCUGUCAUUGGUGAACAAGAUGGGCGGGGUAACUCCUUGCCUGUUUGCUAGUAGCCGAAGAGGAAGGGACGGCUAACUCUGUGCCAGCAGCGGCGGUAAUAC